GGGUCGAAGUAGCGCAUCGGGCCGCGGCGCUCGCCCGGCGGCGGCGUGAAGAAGACACGGGCAGCCUGGUCGCCGCUGGUUCCGACCCA
RNAcentral lists this transfer RNA (89 nucleotides) under compost metagenome. Its description in RNAcentral is "tRNA-Arg". The record is from RNAcentral.